GACAGAGGUGCCAAGCGUUAGGCGGAAUCACUGGGCUUAAAGCGUGUGUAGGCGGACUGGUAAGUACUUUGUGAAAUCCCACGGCUCAACCGUGGAACCGCUUGGUAUACUGCCGGUCUUGAGCCACCUAGGGGCAACCGGAACAAACGGUGGAGCGGUGAAAUGCGUAGAUAUCGUUUGGAACGCCAAAGGUGAAAACAGGUUGCUGGGGGUGUGCUGACGCUGAGACACGAAAGCCAGGGUAGCGAACGGG
This 253-nucleotide ribosomal RNA is filed under the name uncultured bacterium. RNAcentral's name for it is "partial 16S ribosomal RNA". It matches the Rfam family "Bacterial small subunit ribosomal RNA", at positions 524 to 776 of the family's 1533-position model. The record is from RNAcentral.